UUUGAUACAGACAGGAGGCAGGGAAAUACUGGGUAGAAAAGGGCAGUCCCUGGAAGGGCCUUACCCUCAAGCCUGGAACCACAUCCCAAAGUAAUUACACUCUCUUACUCAUCUUUUUGGAAAAUUGUCCUUCCUUUUCCUCACAUAUGGUUCUGAUGGUACCAAUCACAGCACGUUGGCUCCAACCUGACUAAUGGGAGGGCCUAUGUCUCAAGCCAGAAUGGGAAAAAUGCCUUGGAAAGACAGAGACACACAGGAAGAAUAUCAUGUGACAACAGAAACAGAUGGAGUGAUGCAGCUGCAAGCCAGAGAAUGGCAAGGAUCAAAGGAAGCCACCAGAAGACAGGAAGAAGCAAGAAAGGAUUCUUCCCUACAUAGUCUCCGUUUCAGAGGGAGCAAAGCACUGCUGAUACUUUCAUUUUGGACUUUUAACUUCCACGACUAUGAGAUAAUAAAUGUCUGUUAUUUU
Cebus imitator (Panamanian white-faced capuchin) is the source of this 469-nucleotide long non-coding RNA. RefSeq lists it as uncharacterized. The transcript is spliced from 3 exons. Lineage: Eukaryota; Metazoa; Chordata; Mammalia; Primates; Cebidae. The record is from RefSeq and is a predicted model, not a curated record.